Molecule: long non-coding RNA, 305 nt
Organism: Lytechinus variegatus (green sea urchin)
Lineage: Eukaryota; Metazoa; Echinodermata; Echinoidea; Temnopleuroida; Toxopneustidae
Exons: 3
Source: RefSeq, a predicted model, not a curated record
UAGACAGUCGUACGGAUGUCACGAAAUUACACAGGAGUAGAAAGGAUAAUAAAGCAUUCAAGUUUGAUUCUAUGGUUGAGAUCUGUCUCAUCGGUCAACGGGCUAUCAUAGGUGAUAUCGAAGCUGUAUGCGGCCUGUGUAAACACACCCAUAAUAUCACGUGUAUUGAACCUGUACACACAUAUGAAAUGGAAAUGCGCAGCUUUCACAAGCUCGUCAUGCGCAGACAUCCCCAAACUGUAAAGAUGAUCAGAGCAAUGGUGGCUUUCAAGAUACAAAAUAGAUGGGAACGCAUUAGAAAUGAA